This 1001-nucleotide long non-coding RNA is filed under the name Androctonus crassicauda. Lineage: Eukaryota; Metazoa; Arthropoda; Arachnida; Scorpiones; Buthidae. The record is from RNAcentral.
AUUCAUUGUUGUUGUUCUCAUUUAUUUGCACUUCCACUAUAUAAUGUCGUUAAUUAAAAUAGCAAUUAGAUUUUCCGGAACUAUCACAAUACUUUAAUAGACAAAUAAUUACAAUCAGAAUGGUUUAUUUCUGGAAAAUUGCUCUUCGAUUGUUCAGUCCAAGAGGGAAGAAAAAUAAAAAUUCGAUAUUUUAUGGAAUGCAAAUUUUAACGCACAUUCUGUUAAAUUUCCUUUUGUAUAAAAUUUUAUUUAACUUUUUUAUUUGGAAAACUAUCUUAGAUUAUUGUCCAUUUCUUGAAGUUGGAUCCUCAACUUUUGGAGGAAGAUCAUCGCGUCGAUCCUACAAGCAUUAUCCACAUACGAUGCUCUAGGGAUUUCUAGCUUAUUCAGCUAAAUAAAACGAUUAUUUUCAGGAUACAGAUUGGGUAAAAGUAAAGAAGCUCUGCAGGAUUAGCGUUAAUCAAGCGCAUUGUUUCUAAUAUAGGACUGACAGAAAAGUUCGGUUGUACUUUUAAUUACUCGUGAUCGGGAGGGGAAAAAAAUGGGAGAUAAAAAAAAAGACAAGAAACAAUUAUCGAAAUCCGAUCUGCGAAUGUUUAAACAACUCUAACGAUGUAAAACGAAAUUCUAUGGGAAUACCAAGUGCAGAUUAAGAGGCGAGCCUUCUGGGCAAACAGUUUUACAAUGUCAAAAUAUUUUCUCAAGAAAAAACGAAUUUAUCCGAGCUUUUAACUGUGUUAGUUUUGCCGCAUCAAAUAUUGGUCUGAAGCACAAAAACGUUAAAUUUCAAAUCGAUAUUUUUUCCAAUUUAAGCUGGCAAAAUACUGAUGCCACAAGAGGCUUAUCUGAAAUUUCAACGAAGCCUUCCAGUUCUCUCUCUAAAGGCAUUAUCUAGUCGAAAAAAAAUAAUUCCUACGGAUCUUUUUUUAAAUAAUUAAUAAUAUCCGAUUAAGACAUCUUUUUCUUUAAAUGUGCAGUUUAACGCCAUCAUCUUAGAAGAU